UGGCAGUUUUUCAAAGAGACAUUAUUAAGGAUAUAAAAGCAAACUAUCUCACUGUGUAGGAAAGAUAGGACGUAUGGCAAGAGACUAUUGUGGCUUAUUCAGGAGAUCUUCAAUCAACUGAAACUCAAAAAAGACCUAUAAAAAGAGGAAAUG
Molecule: long non-coding RNA, 153 nt
Organism: Dermochelys coriacea (leatherback sea turtle)
Lineage: Eukaryota; Metazoa; Chordata; Testudines; Dermochelyidae
Exons: 3
Source: RefSeq, a predicted model, not a curated record